GCCUGGGUGGCUCAGUUGGCUAAGCAUCUGACUUCAGCUCAGGUCCUGAUCUCACAGUUUGUGAGUUCGAGCCCCGCAUCAGGCU
RNAcentral lists this transfer RNA (85 nucleotides) under Felis catus (domestic cat). It matches the Rfam family "tRNA". Rfam says of the family: Transfer RNA (tRNA) molecules are approximately 80 nucleotides in length. The record is from Rfam by way of RNAcentral. Lineage: Eukaryota; Metazoa; Chordata; Mammalia; Carnivora; Felidae.